GGGUUUCUUAAAUUUAGAAGAGGUGAAAAAUGCUUGCAACACCUUAGAGAACAUGAUAAAGGUCUUCACGAAUCUUACAGGAGGCUGAUGAAUCUUGUAAUGCAAUUUGGGAGCGUGACAAGGUCCUCCAUUGACCUUUGGAAGCCAAAGGAUUUUAUAUCACCUUAGGAAGUACCACAAGGGUCUUCAAUAAGUUUUGAAAGUUAGGAAUGGUGUGAUCUUUGGGAUAAAAGGGAAAAAAACAAAAAUUUGUGGGAUAUUUCCGUGAUGAUUUCACUGAAACAAGCAUGUCAUUUUAUAGGCUUCAGCUAUACAAUUGAAUUUUAGUCCUAUAUAACCUCUAAUUCUAUAACAACCGAUAGUGAUGGUCAUAUGUAUGUAUAAUGAUUAUAUAUAUGAUGGUUAUCUACAAUGGUUAUCUAUGAACAAGUAUAAAUAGGAUGAUGCUUAUCUCUAUCCUACUUUAUGUUUCAAAUUUCCUUCUCCGGGUUAAAAUGUAUGUAGUCAUACUUUGUUGAGAAGGGAUUGCAACUACUUGACGAUUAUUGAGCGUGGUUUUAAAUAAUAGCAGUUAUGUUAUGUUACGUAAUAGCUAUUAUUUUUAAGUUUAUGGAGGUGUAGUUAGCGAUACUCCAUUUAAAUAAUGGCAAAAAGAAUUGUAAUGGGUAAUGGCCAUAACAGCUAUCAUGUAACGGUAACUGUUGUGGCUUAGCAGUUAACGACUUUUACCCACAUGGGCAAAUAG
RNAcentral lists this unclassified non-coding RNA (745 nucleotides) under Hevea brasiliensis (rubber tree). Lineage: Eukaryota; Viridiplantae; Streptophyta; Magnoliopsida; Malpighiales; Euphorbiaceae. The record is from RNAcentral.